RNAcentral lists this ribosomal RNA (451 nucleotides) under Dendropsophus sp. 2 MF-2020. Its description in RNAcentral is "partial large subunit ribosomal RNA". It matches the Rfam family "Bacterial large subunit ribosomal RNA", at positions 1999 to 2602 of the family's 2925-position model. The record is from RNAcentral. Lineage: Eukaryota; Metazoa; Chordata; Amphibia; Anura; Hylidae.
GCACCACGAGGGUUAUACUGUCUCCUUUUUCCAAUCAAUGAAACUGAUUUCCCCGUGAAGAAGCGGGGAUAAGCCUAUAAGACGAGAAGACCCUAUGGAGCUUCAAACAACAAUAGCACUGGCCCUCAUUUUUACGUCAAUAGACACAACCAUUAUUCUGGCCAGCAUGACUAUUAGUUUUAGGUUGGGGUGACCGCGGAGCAAAAAUUAACCUCCACAUUGAACGGAGCUUCUCCUGAGCUAAAAAGCAACGAUUUUAAGCACCAAUAAAUUGACAUUAAUUGACCCAACAUGUUGAGCAACGAACCAAGUUACCCUAGGGAUAACAGCGCAAUCCAUUUCAAGAGCCCACAUCGACAAAUGGGUUUACGACCUCGAUGUUGGAUCAGGGUAUCCCAGUGGUGCAGCCGCUACUAAAGGUUCGUUUGUUCAACGAUUAAAACCCUACGUG